CACUCGCUGCGCUCAAGGGGGGUGUUUUUUCACACCCCUGAGCGCAGCAAGUGCAGCGCUGUGAAUUGCCAGUGUAGCCAAGGCCUUAGUGUCUGAGAAUUGGCACCUCUGCAGUAGACUACAGAAGUUUAGUAAGUUCAUUUUGUUGCUUAAACAGCAUGUGUCUGAUACUUUUUAACAUGCCUGGAUGUAAUCCUAGGUGCUGUGCACCUGAAUUGUGAAAAUGCAAUAUUUGCCAGUUAGGUGGCCCCUUGGGGGUUUUGUUGGGCUCUAUUUGGUCAGACUCAGACACUUAGUUAGCUAACACAUUGCUUCAUAACAUUGGGGCAUCCAGACUACAGGAGGAUGGAACAUGUAACCAGAGUUUGCUGCAAAUGGACAAGGGGACUAGAACCUCAGCUGCAUUCAUCAUUAUUGAUUUUGUGCCCAUGCCGGGGAUCUGUUUACCUUGGCAGCCAGCAACUCAGUCGCUAAUUCAAAUAACAAAGCCUUGGCAACUGUGCUAAGUGAGCAUUCGAAUUAGUACUACCAGUAUUCUCCACGUGGCGGCAGCAAAGAAACAUCGCCUGCUUUAGAAAACCCAAAGCUCUCCUUUUCAAUAUGAGUGAGUGGCAGCGCCAGCCCUGGUAGCUUUAUGUGCAACUGUGCUAAUAUCUAUGCAUGUGUAUGCAUGCAUGGGCAUAUUUGUGUUAAUGUCUGAGUGUGUAUGGUAGUGUCUCUGUAUGACCAUGUCUGCUUGUGUUAAUGUCUCUGUGUUUCUCUUUGUGUUGCUCUGGACAAUCCUCAUCUCAAAAAGUUGAUAUUAUUGUAAUGUUGUAAAAUGUCCCCCUUGCUAGAUAUGAAUUGGCAGAAACAAUCAGCAGCCAUUCUUAAUUUUCUUGUUAAAUGUGUAUCUUAAUAUGAUACUAUUUUUGUCAUAAAUUGUAUACCAUAACAUUUGCAAUAGGUGUAAUGUAGCUGGGGAUAAGUGAAGGGGAAAAUCAAACUUAAGGCAUGUCAAGGGUUCAAAAAUGAAGCAUUCAUUAAAGGAAACCCAAAGAAUCAGGAGAAGUUGUUUCAGUGCUAACUGUAAAAUCAAAGUAAAAAGCAUUAAUUGCUGUUGCAGUCCUAACCCUAGCAUUUUCUGACUUUUUGGGGAAUUAAACUAUAUAAACUCGGUGCUUCAAUUUUCUUGCAUUUAAUGUGUAUCAAAUGUACUGUUCCUAGGGUAACACUUCAACCCCCCCUUACACCUGUAGUGAAGCUUUACACUCUUGGCCUGUCUGUUUCCAUGAGUACUCACAGAUUUGAUUCUACCCUUUUGAG
Molecule: long non-coding RNA, 1305 nt
Filed under: Chrysemys picta bellii (western painted turtle)
Lineage: Eukaryota; Metazoa; Chordata; Testudines; Emydidae
Description: lncRNA (ENSCPBG00000022989.1)
Source: RNAcentral